GUAUGUAGCGAGGUUAAGCCGACAGGUGUAGCCGUAGCGAAAGCGAGUCUGAACAGGGCGAAUUAGUUGCAUGCAGUAUACCCGAAACAGGUGAUCUAUCCAUGUCCAGGGUGAAGCGUGAGUAAAAUCAUGUGGAGGCCCGAACCGAUAUACGUUGAAAAGUAUUCGGAUGAGGUGUGGAUAGGGGUGAAAGGCCAAACAAACCUGGAAAUAGCUGGUUCUCCCCGAAAUGUAUUUAGGUACAGCCUUGCGUUUGAUUUACGGGGGUAGAGCACUGAAUGGGCUAGGGGUCUUACCGGAUUACCAAACCCAAUCAAACUCCGAAUACCGUAAAAUUUUAUCGCAGGAGUGAGACUACGAGAGCUAACUUCCGUGGUCGAGAGGGAAACAACCCAGAUCACCAGCUAAGGUCCCAAAAUUCAUGCUAAGUGGGAAACGAGGUGGAAAUGCACAGACAACCAGGAGGUUGGCUUAGAAGCAGCCAUCCUUUAAAGAAAGCGUAAUAGCUCACUGGUCGAGUGAGUCUGCGCGGAAAAUGUAACGGGCC
RNAcentral lists this ribosomal RNA (547 nucleotides) under uncultured bacterium. RNAcentral describes it as "bacterial LSU rRNA". It matches the Rfam family "Bacterial large subunit ribosomal RNA", at positions 633 to 1181 of the family's 2925-position model. The record is from RNAcentral.